GAUCAUGGCUCAGGAUGAACGCUAGCGGCAGGCUUAACACAUGCAAGUCGAGGGGCAGCGCGGGAUAGCAAUAUCCUGGCGGCGACCGGCGGAAGGGUGCGUAACGCGUGAGCGACAUGCCCGUUGCCCGGGGACAACCGGUGGAAAACGCCGACUAAAUCCCCGAUGGGAUAUUGUGCCGCAUGGCACGAUAUUGAAAGUUACGGCGGCGACGGAUUGGCUCGCGUCCGAUUAGCUGGUUGG
Molecule: ribosomal RNA, 243 nt
Filed under: uncultured bacterium
Lineage: Bacteria
Description: partial 16S ribosomal RNA
Rfam family: Bacterial small subunit ribosomal RNA
Source: RNAcentral